GCGCAGCUGCGUAAGGGAUGGAAGCAGCAUCCUUUUAUUGUUUGCGGCGGCUUCGCCGCCGCCAACAAUAAAAGAUAUAGCGGACAGCCCGGCCCGAG
This 98-nucleotide small RNA is filed under the name Flavobacteriaceae bacterium 3519-10. Its description in RNAcentral is "Flavo-1 RNA". It matches the Rfam family "Flavo-1 RNA". The record is from Rfam by way of RNAcentral. Lineage: Bacteria; Pseudomonadati; Bacteroidota; Flavobacteriia; Flavobacteriales; Flavobacteriaceae.